GAUGAACGCUAGCGGCAGGCCUAAUACAUGCAAGUCGAACGAGAUUAAGAGGCUUGCUUCUUAUGAAAGUGGCGCACGGGUGCGUAACGCGUAUGCAACCUACCUUAAUCAGGGGGAUAGCCCGAAGAAAUUCGGAUUAAGACCGCAUAAAAACACAGGAUAGCAUUAUCCAAUGUUCAAAUAUUUAUAGGAUUAAGAUGGGCAUGCGUGUCAUUAGCUAGUUGGCGGGGUAACGGCCCACCAAGGCGACGAUGACUAGGGGAUCUGAGAGGAUGACCCCCCACACUGGUACUGAGACACGGACCAGACUCCUACGGGAGGCAGCAGUAAGGAAUAUUGGUCAAUGGAGGGAACCCUGAACCAGCCAUGCCGCGUGCAGGAAGACAGCCCUCUGGGUCGUAAACUGCUUUUAUUCGGGAAUAAACCUUUCUACGUGUAGGAAGCUGAAUGUACCGAAGGAAUAAGGAUCGGCUAACUCCGUG
This 482-nucleotide ribosomal RNA is filed under the name uncultured bacterium. RNAcentral describes it as "partial 16S ribosomal RNA". It matches the Rfam family "Bacterial small subunit ribosomal RNA", at positions 28 to 507 of the family's 1533-position model. The record is from RNAcentral.